UCUGCCUGCACUGGCUUCUGUGUCACACAUGUAUUGGUACUUGGCAGAGAGGGGAGAACCUAUGUUUCACUGUUCUGACCUGUGGACAUCUGAACGAUUCAUAGCCUAACACU
Molecule: small nucleolar RNA, 113 nt
Organism: Rattus norvegicus (Norway rat)
Lineage: Eukaryota; Metazoa; Chordata; Mammalia; Rodentia; Muridae
Product: small nucleolar RNA SNORA17
Source: Ensembl